This 230-nucleotide long non-coding RNA is filed under the name Elaeis guineensis (African oil palm). Its description in RNAcentral is "long non-coding RNA (EGUI_LNC006660)". Lineage: Eukaryota; Viridiplantae; Streptophyta; Magnoliopsida; Arecales; Arecaceae. The record is from RNAcentral.
GUGAAGUUGUUUAUCCUACAAGUGGUGAGGGAUUCGCGUGGAUCAUUUCAUUUCAUGGCUUAGACGGCACGGUAUCUUAGAAACUAGGUAAUUGCAAACUAAACCCUGUCCACGUUUUAUGGAACUUGGGUCGGCUUGCUAGUUCAAACGAACUGCCAAUCACCACACAUUCCCCCAAUGAAACUGUGGAUCAGAUCCAAUGGAAGUAAUUCCCAGCCCCGAAGUUAUGG